This 479-nucleotide ribosomal RNA is filed under the name uncultured bacterium. RNAcentral's name for it is "partial 16S ribosomal RNA". It matches the Rfam family "Bacterial small subunit ribosomal RNA", at positions 28 to 507 of the family's 1533-position model. The record is from RNAcentral.
GGCGAACGCUGGCGGCGCGCUUAACACAUGCAAGUCGAGCGAUGAAAUUUCGACAGAUCCCUUCGGGGUGAAGAUGAAAUGGAUUAGCGGCGGACGGGUGAGUAACACGUGAGUAACCUGCCUUUGACAUUGGGAUAGCCUCGGGAAACUGGGAUUAAUACCAAAUGACACUAACUGAUCACAUGAUCAAUUAGUCAAAGAAAUUCGGUCAAAGAUGGACUCGCGGCUGAUUAGCUAGGUGGUGAGGUAACGGCCCACCAAGGCGACGAUCAGUAGCCGGCCUGAGAGGGUGAUCGGCCACAUUGGAACUGAGACACGGUCCAAACUCCUACGGGAGGCAGCAGUGGGGAAUAUUGCACAAUGGGGGAAACCCUGAUGCAGCGACGCCGCGUGAGCGAAGAAGGCCUUCGGGUCGUAAAGCUCUUUUAUGAGGGAAGAUAAUGACGGUACCUCAAGAAAAAGCCCCGGCUAACUACGUG